ACCAAGGGAAGGUUAAUGGUUACGGCUUCUGCCUCACAAGCAGAAGGUUCAGGGAUCAAUUCCCGGUCGGUA
This 72-nucleotide transfer RNA is filed under the name Culex quinquefasciatus (southern house mosquito). RNAcentral's name for it is "tRNA-Val". The record is from RNAcentral. Lineage: Eukaryota; Metazoa; Arthropoda; Insecta; Diptera; Culicidae.